UACGAAGGGGGCUAGCGUUGUUCGGAAUUACUGGGCGUAAAGCGCACGUAGGCGGAUUCUUAAGUCUGGGGUGAAAGCCCGGAGCUCAACUCCGGAACUGCCUUGGAUACUGGGAGUCUCGAGGAUGGAAGAGGUCAGUGGAAUGCCGAGUGUAGAGGUGAAAUUCGUAGAUAUUCGGCGGAACACCAGUGGCGAAGGCGACUGGCUGGUCCAUUUCUGACGCUGAGGUGCGAAAGUGUGGGGAGCAAACAGG
This 253-nucleotide ribosomal RNA is filed under the name uncultured bacterium. RNAcentral describes it as "partial 16S ribosomal RNA". It matches the Rfam family "Bacterial small subunit ribosomal RNA", at positions 524 to 776 of the family's 1533-position model. The record is from RNAcentral.